Molecule: unclassified non-coding RNA, 261 nt
Filed under: plant metagenome
Description: partial contains small subunit ribosomal RNA, internal transcribed spacer 1, and 5.8S ribosomal RNA
Source: RNAcentral
UUUCCGUAGGUGAACCUGCGGAAGGAUCAUUAUUGUAUAACCGAGGUGCGAGGGCUGUCGCUGACCCGAAAGGUCGUGCACGCCCGAGUGCCCUCACACAUCCAUCUCACCCCUAUGUGCACCACCGCGUGGGUCCCCCUUUGGCUUGUUCGGAGGGGGGCUUACGUUUUCACACAAACUUUGUAUGCAGUGUAGAAUGUAUUUUUUGUUUUUGCGAUCACGCAAUCAAUAUAACUUUCAACAACGGAUCUCUUGGCUCUC